UCUGCACACGACGAAGCUGACGCGGA
This 26-nucleotide non-coding RNA is filed under the name Homo sapiens (human). Lineage: Eukaryota; Metazoa; Chordata; Mammalia; Primates; Hominidae. The record is from RNAcentral.